RNAcentral lists this ribosomal RNA (232 nucleotides) under uncultured bacterium. RNAcentral describes it as "partial 16S ribosomal RNA". It matches the Rfam family "Bacterial small subunit ribosomal RNA", at positions 562 to 793 of the family's 1533-position model. The record is from RNAcentral.
AAAGCGCAUGCAGGCGGCCUGUUAAGUCAGAUGUGAAAGCCCGGGGCUUAACCUCGGAAUUGCAUUUUGAAACUGGCAGGCUAGAGUCUUGUAGAGGGGGUAGAAUUUCAGGUGUAGCGGUGAAAUGCGUAGAGAUCUGAAGGAAUACCAGUGGCGAAGGCGGCCCCCUGGACAAAGACUGACGCUCAGAUGCGAAAGCGUGGGGAGCAAACAGGAUUAGACACCCUGGUAG